Molecule: ribosomal RNA, 406 nt
Filed under: uncultured bacterium
Lineage: Bacteria
Description: partial 16S ribosomal RNA
Rfam family: Bacterial small subunit ribosomal RNA
Source: RNAcentral
AUUGAACGCUGGCGGCAGGCCUAACACAUGCAAGUCGAACGAGUGGCGGACGGGUGAGUAAUGUCUGGGAAACUGCCUGAUGGAGGGGGAUAACUACUGGAAACGGUAGCUAAUACCGCAUACCAUCAGAUGUGCCCAGAUGGGAGUUGCUAGUUGGUGGGGUAACGGCUCACAAAGGCGACGAUCCCUAGCUGGUCUGAGAGGAUGACCAGCCAAACUGGAACUGAGACACGGUCCAGACUCCUACGGGAGCAAGCAGUGGGGAAUAUUGCACAAGGGGAGCAAGCCUGAUGCAGCCAUGCCGCGUGUAUGAAGAAGGCCUUCGGGUUGUAAAGUACUUUCAGCGGGGAGGCGUUACCCGCAGAAGAAGCACCGGCUAACUCCGUGCCAGCAGCCGCGGUAAUAC